Molecule: ribosomal RNA, 301 nt
Filed under: uncultured bacterium
Lineage: Bacteria
Description: partial 16S ribosomal RNA
Rfam family: Bacterial small subunit ribosomal RNA
Source: RNAcentral
CAGCCGCCGCGGUAAUACAGAGGAUGCAAGCGUUAUCCGGAAUGAUUGGGCAUAAAGUGUCUGUAGGUGGCUUUUCAAGUCCGCCGUCAAAUCCCAGGGCUCAACCUUGGACAGGCGGUGGAAACUACCAAGCUGGAGUAUGGUAGGGGCAGAGGGAAUUUCCGGUGGAGCGGUGAAAUGCGUUGAGAUCGGAAAAAACACCAACGACGAAAGCGCUCUGCUGGGCCGACACUGACACUUAGAGACGAAAGCUAGGGGAGCAAAUGGGAUUAGAUACCCGCGUAGUCCCUGUCUCUUAUAC